RNAcentral lists this ribosomal RNA (382 nucleotides) under uncultured eukaryote. Its description in RNAcentral is "partial 18S ribosomal RNA". It matches the Rfam family "Eukaryotic small subunit ribosomal RNA", at positions 592 to 976 of the family's 1831-position model. The record is from RNAcentral.
UGUAAGCGUAUACCAAAGUUGUUGCAGUUAAAACGCUCGUAGUCGGAAUUUGGCAGUUCCGGAAGUGUGCACGUCGUGUGCGCACUUUGCGGGGACUGCUUUUGUGGUCUUGCGUAGGAUGAGGCACUUUCAUUAGUGAACGUCCUCACGCAACCACUCUUUACUGUGAGAAAAUCAGAGUGCUCAAAGCAGGCAUUUGCCGUGAAUGUAUUAGCAUGGAAUAAUAGAAUAGGACUCGGUUCUAUUUUGUUGGUUUGUUGGGACUGAGUAAUGAUUAAGAGGGACAGUUGGGGGCAUUUGUAUUCCGGCGCUAGAGGUGUAAUUCUUAGAUUGCCGGAAGACAAACUGCUGCGAAAGCGUCUGCCAAGGAUGUUUUCAUUGA